AUAAAUAUUAUCAACUGAAAACAAGCUGCUACAUCUUGCUGCAAAGUUGCUUGUAAGUUAUUUUUGUCUUGUUUAAAGUGAACUAAGGUAUUUGCAGUAGAUGAAAAUCUUUGUAAGAU
Molecule: long non-coding RNA, 119 nt
Organism: Poecilia latipinna (sailfin molly)
Lineage: Eukaryota; Metazoa; Chordata; Actinopteri; Cyprinodontiformes; Poeciliidae
Exons: 5
Source: RefSeq, a predicted model, not a curated record